This 497-nucleotide ribosomal RNA is filed under the name uncultured bacterium. RNAcentral describes it as "partial 16S ribosomal RNA". It matches the Rfam family "Bacterial small subunit ribosomal RNA", at positions 28 to 507 of the family's 1533-position model. The record is from RNAcentral.
GAUGAACGCUGGCGGCGUGCCUAAUACAUGCAAGUCGAGCGAACAGACGAGGAGCUUGCUCCUCUGACGUUAGCGGCGGACGGGUGAGUAACACGUGGAUAACCUACCUAUAAGACUGGGAUAACUUCGGGAAACCGGAGCUAAUACCGGAUAAUAUAUUGAACCGCAUGGUUCAAUAGUUAAAGACGGUUUUGCUGUCACUUAUAGAUGGAUCCGCGCCUCAUUAGCUAGUUGGUAAGGUAACGGCUUACCAAGGCAACGAUGCGUAGCCGACCUGAGGGGGUGAUCGGCCACACUGGAACUGAGACACGGUCCAGACUCCUACGGGAGGCAGCAGUAGGGAAUCUUCCGCAAUGGGCGAAAGCCUGACGGAGCAACGCCGCGUGAGUGAUGAAGGUCUUCGGAUCGUAAAACUCUGUUAUUAGGGAAGAACAAAUGUGUAAGUAACUAUGCACGUCUUGACGGUACCUAAUCAGAAAGCCACGGCUAACUACGUG